This 2885-nucleotide long non-coding RNA is filed under the name Vulpes vulpes (red fox). RNAcentral's name for it is "lncRNA (ENSVVUG00000023880.1)". Lineage: Eukaryota; Metazoa; Chordata; Mammalia; Carnivora; Canidae. The record is from RNAcentral.
AUUUGAUUCUAGAACCUACGAUCUUAUGCAUAAACCUCUGAACCAGGCAGAUCUGCAUUAUCUGAUUCUACGCUAGAAAAAGUCAACUUAAAAAAAAAAAAAGAAAGAAAGAAAGAAAACCCUCACAAACUUCUUACCAUUGUUCAAACUUAAAAGAUGUGAAAAGUAGGAGCCACAUUUCCCACUUUCAAACAAUAAUCAGGCUUUAAUAUUCAACACUGAAGAGAGCUAUAAACAAAAACGAUACCGGACCUAUUAAACCCUGCUUAGCGUACAUGUGAACACAAGGUCCUGCUCUAAGUAUUAACACUUUAUCACAUACUUAACAUCAAAAACUAAAGUUUAAGACAUUCAAAACAGAAUACAAGGAGUAGAAGAUAACCUAUUCUAAACUCCCAUUAGUAAAUCUAGAAUCAAUCGUUUCACUGUAAAUAGAUCGCAGUCCGCAACAACAACCCGAAUUUGCCGGGAGCAGUUCACUUACACAAGAGUUCCAAAGACAACUUUCCCAAAGUGCCUAAAAUAACAAUGCACUAUCCUUGCUUUCCAAAAUUCUCGAGCAUCUUCAAUCACCUCAAGCACUAUCUAGAAUUCUAAAAAUAAUCUCAAAGCAAAAACUUAGCAGUGGGUAUUCAGACCGGCCGUGCACUCUCGGGCAGCAGGCCUCGUUCUGAAAUCAAGCACAGGUAGGAUACAAGCUGCGCCAAAGCUACCACGGGGUGGGGCAUUCACGACUCGCUCAGAUAAGCCCAACACAGCUUUGGUCGGUGCUCCCAGUAAACCCCUAGUGACUCCCCAAAUUUCAACACGACUAAAGCAAUGUUUUCCUUUUGCCCAAAAUGCUUUUCACAGAAUACCAAAAAAAAAAAAGUCAUAGCCAACACUUCAAGAUAUGGUGCAAGCCAUGAUAAUGCACUUGAGAUUCUGGAAACCAAAACUCCAAUAAAAUGAAUGUGUCUCACCGCUCACUGUGAAAGAUCUGAAGCUGCACACUUCAGAUUUGUUUUUUUUUGUUUGUUUGUUUGUUUGUUUGUUUUACUUACGUGGCCAUUUGAAUGUGUGACUGAGGCAAGAGUAAAGGGUGAAGGAUGGAAUAAGGUCAAACUUAGCAGACAAAAGAUCCCUGGAAUAAACAGGGCCAGAAAGGUCUCCUUUCGUAGGGGCAGGGUGUAUAUUCAGAGAGAAAGAAAAAAAAAAAGAAAAGAAAAGAAGAGAAAAAGGGAAAAGAAGAACACGCCAAAUCCUGUACUUUCUAACACAGCAGUCCACCAGGUACCUGCCAGUCGUUGCGAGGCUCUGGAGGAAUAAGGGUUAUUUCCUGAAGAUUUGAUAAAAAUGAAAUACGGUCUAUACAGCAGACGAAAGUCUCACUGCCCGCCCGGGGGCCGCAUAAUUCCGAUACACCAGUUGUCAGACAAUUAGCAGUGAACCGUCCUGCGUGGAAAACUUGACCGUAUAUGGAAUUGAAAGAAAAACUUAACGUCCAGAAGGCGAUCUCUGCUCUCAAAAAGACCUUGAGCUUCCGAGCUCAUCUGGGGAUAGGAGGUGAGGGUGUGGCAAUGAGAGGGACAGAAUAAUCAGUCCAUCUUGUCAUAAAUGCAUUACACACAUAUGCAAAUCCGGGCAUGAUUUUUAAUCUGAUGGCAAGAAAAGCAAGUUUAGUGAAUGAUCACUGAGAUAUUAUCCGGUUUUAUAUAAUAACCAUGGAUCAUCGUGAUUCUUAAGGCUUUGCAACAAAUCUGUGCACUUCACAGCCGUCCUUGCUUCACACCUCAGAUAUUUUCAAUCAGCGUUUGAGAUCCUUCCCUGGAGUCUUCAUAGGUAUUUGAUUUUGACAUAUUAUAAUAGAACUUAAUUCUAUUGAUAUCCUAUGUUUACACCGGAGGAAUUUGAAAAGUUGUGAAGUGAUUGGAAACACAGAAUUUUAGGAAUAACGCAAUAGCUCUCCUAGAAUGCACAAUUUUGUUGUGAGAACACUGAGACUCAAAGAAGGCUACUUGCCAAAGAAAGCAAACUAGAGCCCACUUGACCCCAUUUACAGACCGAAGUUCUGUCCAACGUCAUCUUCAUGUUUCUCUCUAUUAUGGAUUAAAAAAAAGAAGAAGAAGAACUCUAUCCAGUUCAUGACAUUUGAAUAUAAGAAAGUUAAAUUUAACAUAAAAAUGUAGUACUAUGAUUUUAAAAAGAUACUGCCAUAUACUAAACUUCAGUUUUGUUUUUCUGAGUUAAAUUGUUAGUUCCACAGAAAAUGUUAUUUUACUAGUGGUUACUAGAUAAUUAUUCACUAAAUGUUUUUAUAGGAUAGUCAUAUUUGCCCACUUUGAUCAUUUAUUUCCAGCUUACCUCUAGUGGUUUUCCUACUGAAAUUUUUAAAACCUUAACCGUUUUGUAUGAGGAGAAACUUUCAAGUGUCCUUAUAGGUAUUCUUUUCUAGAAAGCAUACUAGAAUGAACAGAGGAUGGAAAUGUGAAAAUUUGAGAUAAAUUUGCACACAUGACACACUGCCAGAUAUCCUAAUUCAUUUUAGCAAUUUGUCCCAAUGUUCAGUUUUUUCUGUUCAUGAAUAAGCCUUAAUAUAAGUAUGAUUGUUGGAAGUAUAUAACCUCAGGAUAUUAUUUAAUAAUUCCUAAAUUGUACUACUCUGGAGUGUUGACACUCAGGUAAACAGUUAAACUGACAGAUUUCAUUAAAAUUAAAAAUUUAGGGGCCUCUGGUGGCUCAGUUCAUUAAGCCUCUGCCUUGGACUCAGGUCAUGGUAAUGGGAUAGAGCCCUAGUAGGGCUCCUGGCUCAGCGAGGAGUCUGCUUCUUCCUCUGCCCCUCCCCCUACUUGUGCAAGCUCUCUCUUUCAAAUAAAUAAAAUCUUUCUUAAAAAAAAAUUAAAUUA